AUGCUCGCUUCGGCAGCACGCGUACUAAAACUGGAACUGUACGGGGAAGAUAGCACGGCCUCUGCGCAAGGAUGACGUGCAAGUUCGCGAGUGUUUCGUAGUUUUA
Molecule: small nuclear RNA, 106 nt
Organism: Pteropus vampyrus (large flying fox)
Lineage: Eukaryota; Metazoa; Chordata; Mammalia; Chiroptera; Pteropodidae
Source: Ensembl